RNAcentral lists this small RNA (44 nucleotides) under Curtobacterium sp. ER1/6. The record is from RNAcentral. Lineage: Bacteria; Bacillati; Actinomycetota; Actinomycetes; Micrococcales; Microbacteriaceae.
AAGGGGAACUUCGCCGAGGGCGACACCGUCAACCACGGCGCGGU